RNAcentral lists this signal recognition particle RNA (302 nucleotides) under Triticum aestivum (bread wheat). Its description in RNAcentral is "SRP RNA Plant_SRP". It matches the Rfam family "Plant signal recognition particle RNA". Lineage: Eukaryota; Viridiplantae; Streptophyta; Magnoliopsida; Poales; Poaceae. The record is from Rfam by way of RNAcentral.
GCCGAGCUCAGUUGCGAGAGCUUGUAACCCGAGUGGGGGCAUUAGGUGAUGUGGACGUUGUUGUAGUACUACGGGCCUGGUCUGGGUGUGCUACUGUUGGCCCACCCGUUCCAAGUUGUGUAGUGGGCCUCUUGGGGCCUAUGCGAAAGCUGGGCCUCACGGUCCAUAAUGUGGGGGCACAGCGUGAGGCUGGCUUCACAGAGCAGCGACAACUGCCCGCUUCCAACGGUGGAAGGAUAACGGGCCGCUGCACUCCUUGGCCGCUUGGGCCUCGCAGCCUACUCUAGUGGACCAUCACUUUU